This 30-nucleotide non-coding RNA is filed under the name Rattus norvegicus (Norway rat). Lineage: Eukaryota; Metazoa; Chordata; Mammalia; Rodentia; Muridae. The record is from RNAcentral.
UACCACAACCUUGACAUUGUCCAUCAAGAC